RNAcentral lists this ribosomal RNA (498 nucleotides) under uncultured bacterium. RNAcentral describes it as "partial 16S ribosomal RNA". It matches the Rfam family "Bacterial small subunit ribosomal RNA", at positions 30 to 523 of the family's 1533-position model. The record is from RNAcentral.
AUUGAACGCUGGCGGCAUGCCUUACACAUGCAAGUCGAACGGUAACAGGUCUUCGGAUGCUGACGAGUGGCGAACGGGUGAGUAAUACAUCGGAACGUGCCUAGUAGUGGGGGAUAACUACUCGAAAGAGUGGCUAAUACCGCAUGAGAUCUACGGAUGAGAGCAGGGGAUCGCAAGACCUUGUGCUACUAGAGCGGCCGAUGGCAGAUUAGGUAGUUGGUGGGAUAAAAGCUUACCAAGCCGACGAUCUGGAGCUGGUCUGAGAGGACGAUCAGCCACACUGGGACUGAGACACGGCCCAGACUCCUACGGGAGGCAGCAGUGGGGAAUUUUGGACAAUGGGCGAAAGCCUGAUCCAGCAAUGCCGCGUGCAGGAUGAAGGCCUUCGGGUUGUAAACUGCUUUUGUACGGAACGAAAAGCCCCGGGUUAAUACCCUGGGGUCAUGACGGUACCGUAAGAAUAAGCACCGGCUAACUACGUGCCAGCCGCCGCAGUAA